RNAcentral lists this ribosomal RNA (733 nucleotides) under uncultured Eubacteriales bacterium. RNAcentral's name for it is "bacterial SSU rRNA". It matches the Rfam family "Bacterial small subunit ribosomal RNA", at positions 28 to 776 of the family's 1533-position model. The record is from RNAcentral. Lineage: Bacteria; Bacillati; Bacillota; Clostridia; Eubacteriales.
GACGAACGCUGGCGGCAUGCUUAACACAUGCAAGUCGAACGAGCUGAUUCCUUCGGGAUGAAAGCGAGUGGCGAACGGGUGAGUAAUGUAUGAGUAACCUGCCUCUGUCUACGGGAUAACAUUUGGAAACAAGUGCUAAUACGGUAUAAGACCACAGCACCGCAUGGUGCAGGGGUAAAAGAUUUAUCGGACAGAGAUGGACUCAUAUCCCAUUAGCUAGUUGGUGAGAUAAUAGCCCACCAAGGCGACGAUGGGUAGCCGAGCUGAGAGGCUGAUCGGCCACAUUGGAACUGAAACACGGUCCAGACUCCUACGGGAGGCAGCAGUGGGGAAUAUUGGGCAAUGGAGGAAACUCUGACCCAGCAAUGCCGCGUGAGCGAUGAAGGUCAUCGAUUGUAAAGCUCUUUUCCUGGGAACGAAACAAAUGACGGUACCCAGGGAAUAAGCCCCGGCUAACUACGUGCCAGCAGCCGCGGUAAUACGUAGGGGGCGAGCGUUGUCCGGAAUGACUGGGCGUAAAGGGUGCGUAGGUGGUUUAAUAAGUUAGAAGUGUAAUACCCAGGGCUUAACUCGGGUGCUGCUUCUAAAACUGUUAGGCUUGAGUGUAGUAGAGGAAAGCGGAAUUCAAUGUGUAGCGGUGGAAUGCGUAGAUAUAUUGAAGAACAUCAGUGGCGAAGGCGGCUUUCUGGACUAUAACUGACACUGAGGCACGAAAGCGUGGGGAGCAAACAGG